RNAcentral lists this ribosomal RNA (253 nucleotides) under uncultured bacterium. RNAcentral describes it as "partial 16S ribosomal RNA". It matches the Rfam family "Bacterial small subunit ribosomal RNA", at positions 524 to 776 of the family's 1533-position model. The record is from RNAcentral.
UACGGAGGGGGCUAGCGUUGUUCGGAAUUACUGGGCGUAAAGCGCACGUAGGCGGCUUUGCAAGUUAGAGGUGAAAGCCCGGGGCUCAACUCCGGAAUUGCCCUUAAAACUGCAUCGCUAGAAUUGUGGAGAGGAAAGUGGAAUUCCGAGUGUAGAGGUGAAAUUCGUAGAUAUUCGGAAGAACACCAGUGGCGAAGGCGACUUACUGGACACAUAUUGACGCUGAGGUGCGAAAGCGUGGGGAGCAAACAGG